GUCUCUGUAGUAUAGUGGUUAGUAUGCUCGCUUGUGGGAAUUCAUCCUACUGUGGGAUAAUCCAAUCGCGAUUGACGCCAGUUCGAUUCCGGCCGGGGACA
Molecule: non-coding RNA, 101 nt
Organism: Mycena rosella
Lineage: Eukaryota; Fungi; Basidiomycota; Agaricomycetes; Agaricales; Mycenaceae
Source: the annotation of a GenBank genome assembly